RNAcentral lists this ribosomal RNA (524 nucleotides) under uncultured bacterium. Its description in RNAcentral is "bacterial SSU rRNA". It matches the Rfam family "Bacterial small subunit ribosomal RNA", at positions 776 to 1297 of the family's 1533-position model. The record is from RNAcentral.
AAAUAGAUACCCCGGUAGUCCACGCCGUAAACGAUGAGUGCUAAGUGUUAGAGGGUUUCCGCCCUUUAGUGCUGCAGCUAACGCAUUAAGCACUCCGCCUGGGGAGUACGGCCGCAAGGCUGAAACUCAAAGGAAUUGACGGGGGCCCGCACAAGCGGUGGAGCAUGUGGUUUAAUUCGAAGCAACGCGAAGAACCUUACCAGGUCCUGACAUCCUCUGCCAACCCUAGAGAUAGGGCGUUCCCCUUCGGGGGACAGAGUGACAGGUGGUGCAUGGUUGUCGUCAGCUCGUGUCGUGAGAUGUUGGGUUAAGUCCCGCAACGAGCGCAACCCUUGAUCUUAGUUGCCAGCAUUCAAGUUGGGCACUCUAAGGUGACUGCCGGUGACAAACCGGAGGAAGGUGGGGAUGACGUCAAAUCAUCAUGCCCCUUAUGACCUGGGCUACACACGUGCUACAAUGGAUGGUACAAAGAGCUGCGAACCCGCGAGGGUAAGCGAAUCUCAUAAAGCCAUUCUCAGUUCGGA